CAAAUACAUAUUCUUAUUUACUUCAAAUUAUCUUAAUAUCAAGGUCAGUGCAGUUCACGUGAGGCAUUAUACUUUUUGAGAGACAUUGAAAAGCAAAACCAAUGAUAAAAUUUCCAUUUCUAUAUUUGUUAUUCCUAUAUUUACAGGCAUGAGAAGUUACCAUGAGCUUUUGCAGUCUGUCCCAGGGUGGGUUUUCUGGAGGUCGACUCCAAGACAGAGUUUCAGGCACAGAAUGCUUACCUGGAAGUGUCCUUUGUACCCCAACAGGUGUGAAAUGGAGGUGAAGGAAGCAGCAUGGAAAGAGGGAGAAGUCACGCUAUGAUGCAGGUCCCAGAGCAGCCUUGCCUGACCCCACAGAAAGCUCUGGAGCUAAAAUGGCCCGUAUUGAUUCCCUCUUACUGCUGUAACAAAUUAUCACAAAUUUAGUGGCUUAACACAGCACUAAUUUAUUAUCUUACAGCUCUGAAGUUCAGAUAUUCAAAAUGAAUCUCAUGAAUCAAAGUGUCAGCAGGACCAUGCAUGUUCCUUUGUUGGCCUUUUCCCAUUUAUUCUCUCCCCAGAGCUGGCUCCUCUUAGGAUGUCUGUCAUUCACUUAGACAAAGAAACCAGAAACCCCAGAGUCCUUGCCUCCCUCUGUCCCUCACUUCCUGUGAGCCACCAUGUCCUGGCUAAUCGGCCUCCUUAAUAUCGCCUCACAUUGGUUUCUUUUCUCCAUUCCUGUUCCCACUGCUUUUAUAGAGUCUCCUGUUAUUUCUUCCUAAUUGAUCUGACCUUCCAAUCCAUUCUCAAUGCUAUAGGCCAAAUCUUCCUUAGAGAAAGGACAAAUGAUCGGGUCCCUCCUGGCUUAAAUUGUACCUCAUUGACUUAUGCUUGGCUUCAGGAUAAAAUCCAGCCUCUCAGCAGAAACUUCCAGGCAUCCACAGUCUGACCCCUUCUCUCCCCGCUUGCCCCUGUGCUCCAGUGCCAGCCGCAUUAACCUACUUUUAUCUUUCCCACAUAUGCUGUCCUCCCUUAUGUUGAUGAACCACGGCAGGAGUCUCAUACUUUCAGUUGGUUGUUGCUAGUGUGUUGAUUUCACAUCUUCCAACACUGCCGAACUUAUUAGCUCUAAUAAGGAGGAGAAGGACGCAUGGCCUGAGUAAGAAGGGACAGCAAGC
RNAcentral lists this long non-coding RNA (1157 nucleotides) under Sus scrofa (pig). RNAcentral's name for it is "lncRNA (ENSSSCG00045023570.1)". Lineage: Eukaryota; Metazoa; Chordata; Mammalia; Artiodactyla; Suidae. The record is from RNAcentral.